CAGUAUAAAUCCACUGAGAUUACAGUGUAAAUCAAGAAAAGAAUUACAGUGAAAAUCAACAAGGAAUUACAGUGCAAAUUAAUAAAGAGUUUCAGUGCAUAUACAGUGUAAAUCAACAAAGAAUUACUGUGUAAAAACAUAAAAUUACAGUACUAAUUACACUAAGAUUUACAGUGUCAAAAUCAAACGGUAAACUAGCAUCAACACUUACGGGCUAUAAUGGGGAUCACAAUGCAAAUCCACUAGGAAUUACAUUGUAAAAACAAAAAAAAGUAGGAAUUACAGUACUAAUUACACUGAAACCAAUAAAAAUUACACUGAUAAACCAAUAUGAAUUACACUGAUUAACCAAUAGGGGUUACACUGUAAUUACACUGAAAACCAAAUAGGAAUUACAUUCUCACCCAACUGCAUAUCCAAUGACAAUUACAGUGCAAAUCCAAUGAAAAUUACAGUGUAAACCCAAAAUGAGAAGUACAGUGUAAAUCCACUAGCAAUUACACUGUAAAUCCAUUGAGAAUUACAAUGUAAAUCCAUUGAGAAUUACAGCCACAAUCCCAAGGCGACCCAGCAUGCCAACCAUACAUACACACUGUGACAGUAAAAAUGGCCCAGGGGAAAAUUAACACAUACUCCCUCUGUAAACUAAUUAGUGAUCUAAACGUUCUUAUAUUAGUUUACGGAGGAAGUAGAUACUAACAAUGGAGAGCAGGGACUAAACGAUGAUCUGCUAUGUUCGAAUUGCUCAAAUAGCGCAUACAAAAUCAAACAACCAGCCAAAUUCAAACAAUUAACCACAGUGCCCAUCUCAUAGAUCGAUAGAUCUCACGAAUUACAGGAGGGAUUUGGGGGUGUGAGAGAUAGAGUACAUGAGAGGAUGCAGAGGAAAGUUGGGGUAGGUACAGAGAACAGGAGGAAAAGUUCAGACUAGACUCACACAUACCUCUCACACACGGCAUGACAUGCUAACAAAUACAGAGCACACACACCCUGUCGCGUGGGUACACCAGUCAGCCUACCACACCACACUCAAGGCUACACCUCUCUGUAAACCAUCAAAUUGACUGUUGUGUGCUGCACCAUCUCCUCGGUCAUCAGCUUCAGGCGACUCUAUUUUCACACUUGGCAAAUCAAUCCCAGAAACCAUACAUCGAUUGAAGGUGUGACACACAUGCAGAUCAAUGAAACUAACAACCAACCAGAAACCCUAAUCAAAAUUUGCAUGACAGACGAGAUUCAAACACAGGAAGGGCGGAACCGCACACAUCUACACAAGAAGCUGCCGGAAAUUAACACAAGCAAACAGAUCUGACCGAGAAAACACUACGCACUAACAUACAGAGCUGAGAAUCAAAGCAACAGGGGGGAACAUACCGAAUCGAACAAAACCGACGAGCGGCGAGGGGGGGCUCCAAAUCGCCAUGGAUAUCUCUCUCAGUUGCCUUCUGGGUUACGUGUUCGAAAUGAAAAGGGGAUCGAGCGGCGCGGGGAAGAGACAGAGGAAGGAAAGAAAAAGAAAAACACCGACGCGCGGCAGCGAGCGGUACUAACGGGUUUGGAAAAUACAAGCGGGCCCGAUAAGAAACUCAGCGCCAGCAAACGACGAAAAAAAA
This 1613-nucleotide long non-coding RNA is filed under the name Triticum aestivum (bread wheat). Its description in RNAcentral is "long non-coding RNA (TAES_LNC012303)". The record is from RNAcentral. Lineage: Eukaryota; Viridiplantae; Streptophyta; Magnoliopsida; Poales; Poaceae.